UACGUAGGGUGCAAGCGUUGUCCGGAUUUAUUGGGCGUAAAGAGCUCGUAGGCGGUUUGUCGCGUCGGAUGUGAAAACCCAGGGCUCAACCCUGGGCCUGCAUUCGAUACGGGCAGACUAGAGUACUGCAGGGGAGACUGGAAUUCCUGGUGUAGCGGUGAAAUGCGCAGAUAUCAGGAGGAACACCAACAGCGAAGGCAGAUCUCUGGGACGUAACUGACGCUGGAGACGCGAAAGCGUGGGGAGCAAACAGG
This 254-nucleotide ribosomal RNA is filed under the name uncultured bacterium. Its description in RNAcentral is "partial 16S ribosomal RNA". It matches the Rfam family "Bacterial small subunit ribosomal RNA", at positions 524 to 776 of the family's 1533-position model. The record is from RNAcentral.